UUAGUAGAUGGGAAACAGGUCAAUAUUCCUGUACCGAUGUGUAGUGCGAUGUGGGGACGGAAAGGUUAACUCAGCCAACUGUUGGAUAUGUUGGUUCAAGCUUGUAGUCGUGCCUGGUAGGCAAAUCCGCCGGGCUUAGAUGAGGAGUGAUAACGAGGCUGCUUGCAGCCGAAGUGAGUGAUACCCUGCUUCCAGGAAAAGCCACUAAGCUUCAGCUAUACACCACCGUACCGCAAACCGACACUGGUGCGCGAGAUGAGUAUUCUAAGGCGCUUGAGAGAACUCAGGAGAAGGAGCUCGGCAAAUUGACACCGUAACUUCGGAAGAAGGUGUGCCUUUAGUAGGUGAAGGGAUUUACUCCUGGAGCCCAAUGAGGUUGCAAAAAAUCGUGGCUGCGACUGUUUAUUAAAAACACAGCACUCUGCAAACACGAAAGUGGACGUAUAGGGUGUGACGCCUGCCCGGUGCUGGAAGAUUAAAUGAUGGGGUGCAAGCUCUUGAUUGAAGUCCCAGUAAACGGCGGCCGUAACUAUAACGGUCCUAAGGUAGCGAAAUUCCUUGUCGGGUAAGUUCCGACCUGCACGAAUGGCGUAACGAUGGCCACACUGUCUCCUCCUGAGACUCAGCGAAGUUGAAAUGUUUGUGAUGAUGCAAUCUCCCCGCGGAAAGACGGAAAGACCCCAUGAACCUUUACUGUAGCUUUGUAUUGGACUUUGAACAGAUCUGUGUAGGAUAGGUGGGAGGCUUUGAAGUAGGGUCGCUAGAUCUUAUGGAGCCAACGUUGAAAUACCACCCUGGUGUGUUUGAGGUUCUAACCUAGGUCCAUUAUCUGGAUCGGGGACAGUGCAUGGUAGGCAGUUUGACUGGGGCGGUCUCCUCCCAAAGCGUAACGGAGGAGUUCGAAGGUACGCUAGUUACGGUCGGACAUCGUGACGAUAGUGCAAUGGCAUAAGCGUGCUUAACUGCGAGACUGACAAGUCGAGCAGAUGCGAAAGCAGGACAUAGUGAUCCGGUGGUUCUGUAUGGAAGGGCCAUCGCUCAACGGAUAAAAGGUACUCUGGGGAUAACAGGCUGAUACCGCCCAAGAGUUCAUAUCGACGGCGGUGUUUGGCACCUCGAUGUCGGCUCAUCUCAUCCUGGGGCUGUAGCCGGUCCCAAGGGUAUGGCUGUUCGCCAUUUAAAGAGGUACGUGAGCUGGGUUUAAAACGUCGUGAGACAGUUUGGUCCCUAUCUUCCGUGGGCGCUGCAGAUUUGAGGAAGCCUGCUCCUAGUACGAGAGGACCGGAGUGGACACACCUCUGGUGUAUCGGUUGUCACGCCAGUGGCAUUGCCGAGUAGCUAAGUGUGGAAGAGAUAACCGCUGAAAGCAUCUAAGCGGGAAACUCGUUUCAAGAUGAGAUCUGCCGGGGCCUUGAGCCCCCUAAAGAGUCGUUCAAGACCAGGACGUUGAUAGGUCGGGUGUGGAAGCGCAGUAAUGCGUUAAGCUAACCGAUACUAAUUGCUCGUGCGGCUUGACCCC
RNAcentral lists this ribosomal RNA (1519 nucleotides) under metagenome. RNAcentral's name for it is "bacterial LSU rRNA". It matches the Rfam family "Bacterial large subunit ribosomal RNA", at positions 1411 to 2925 of the family's 2925-position model. The record is from RNAcentral.